RNAcentral lists this ribosomal RNA (253 nucleotides) under uncultured bacterium. Its description in RNAcentral is "partial 16S ribosomal RNA". It matches the Rfam family "Bacterial small subunit ribosomal RNA", at positions 524 to 776 of the family's 1533-position model. The record is from RNAcentral.
UACGUAGGGUGCAAGCGUUGUCCGGAAUUAUUGGGCGUAAAGAGCUCGUAGGCGGCUCGUCACGUCGGCUGUGAAAACCCGGGGCUCAACCCCGGGCCUGCAGCCGAUACGGGCAGACUAGAGUUCGGCAGGGGAGACUGGAAUUCCUGGUGUAGCGGUGAAAUGCGCAGAUAUCAGGAGGAACACCGGUGGCGAAGGCGGGUCUCUGGGCAAUAACUGACGCUGAGGAGCGAAAGCUAGGGGAGCAAACGGG